RNAcentral lists this ribosomal RNA (646 nucleotides) under uncultured Sediminibacillus sp. RNAcentral describes it as "bacterial SSU rRNA". It matches the Rfam family "Bacterial small subunit ribosomal RNA", at positions 338 to 974 of the family's 1533-position model. Lineage: Bacteria; Bacillati; Bacillota; Bacilli; Caryophanales; Bacillaceae. The record is from RNAcentral.
CCUACGGGAGGCAGCAGUAGGGAAUCUUCCGCAAUGGACGAAAGUCUGACGGAGCAACGCCGCGUGAACGAUGAAGGUUUUCGGAUCGUAAAGUUCUGUUGUUAGGGAAGAACAAGUACCGUUCAAAUAGGACGGUACCUUGACGGUACCUAACGAGGAAGCCCCGGCUAACUACGUGCCAGCAGCCGCGGUAAUACGUAGGGGGCGAGCGUUGUCCGGAAUUAUUGGGCGUGAAGCGCGCGCAGGCGGUUUCUUAAGUCUGAUGUGAAAGCCCACGGCUUAACCGUGGAGGGUCAUUGGAAACUGGGGAACUUGAGUACAGAAGAGGAGAGCGGAAUUCCACGUGUAGCGGUGAAAUGCGUAGAUAUGUGGAGGAACACCAGUGGCGAAGGCGGCUCUCUGGUCUGUAACUGACGCUGAGGCGCGAAAGCGUGGGGAGCGAACAGGAUUAGAUACCCUGGUAGUCCACGCCGUAAACGAUGAGUGCUAGGUGUUAGGGGGUUUCCGCCCCUUAGUGCUGAAGUUAACGCAUUAAGCACUCCGCCUGGGGAGUACGGCCGCAAGGCUGAAACUCAAAAGAAUUGACGGGGGCCCGCACAAGCGGUGGAGCAUGUGGUUUAAUUCGAAGCAACGCGAAGAACCUUAC